UUUAAAUUUAGAGUUUGAUCCUGGCUCAGGACGAACGCUGGCGGCGUGCUUAACACAUGCAAGUCGAGCGAUGAAGCUUCCUUCGGGAAGUGGAUUAGCGGCGGACGGGUGAGUAACACGUGGGUAACCUGCCUCAAAGUGGGGGAUAGCCUUCCGAAAGGAAGAUUAAUACCGCAUAAUAUAAGAGAAUCGCAUGAUUUUUUAUCAAAGAUUUAUUGCUUUGAGAUGGACCCGCGGCGCAUUAGCUAGUUGGUAAGGUAACGGCUUACCAAGGCAACGAUGCGUAGCCGACCUGAGAGGGUGAUCGGCCACAUUGGAACUGAGACACGGUCCAGACUCCUACGGGAGGCAGCAGUGGGGAAUAUUGCGCAAUGGGGGGAAACCCUGACGCAGCAACGCCGCGUGGGUGAUGAAGGUCUUCGGAUUGUAAAGCCCUGUUUUCUAGGACGAUAAUGACGGUACUAGAGGAGGAAGCCACGGCUAACUACGUGCCAGCAGCCGCGGUAAUACGUAGGUGGCGAGCGUUGUCCGGAUUUACUGGGCGUAAAGGGUGCGUAGGCGGAUGUUUAAGUGGGAUGUGAAAUCCCCGGGCUUAACCUGGGGGCUGCAUUCCAAACUGGAUAUCUAGAGUGCAGGAGAGGAAAGCGGAAUUCCUAGUGUAGCGGUGAAAUGCGUAGAGAUUAGGAAGAACACCAGUGGCGAAGGCGGCUUUCUGGACUGUAACUGACGCUGAGGCACGAAAGCGUGGGUAGCAAACAGGAUUAGAUACCCUGGUAGUCCACGCCGUAAACGAUGGAUACUAGGUGUAGGGGGUAUCAACUCCCCCUGUGCCGCAGUUAACACAAUAAGUAUCCCGCCUGGGGAGUACGGUCGCAAGAUUAAAACUCAAAGGAAUUGACGGGGGCCCGCACAAGCAGCGGAGCAUGUGGUUUAAUUCGAAGCAACGCGAAGAACCUUACCUGGACUUGACAUCCCUUGCAUAGCCUAGAGAUAGGUGAAGCCCUUCGGGGCAAGGAGACAGGUGGUGCAUGGUUGUCGUCAGCUCGUGUCGUGAGAUGUUAGGUUAAGUCCUGCAACGAGCGCAACCCUUGUUAUUAGUUGCUACCAUUAAGUUGAGCACUCUAAUGAGACUGCCUGGGUAACCAGGAGGAAGGUGGGGAUGACGUCAAAUCAUCAUGCCCCUUAUGUCCAGGGCUACACACGUGCUACAAUGGUAGGUACAAUAAGACGCAAGACCGUGAGGUGGAGCAAAACUUAUAAAACCUAUCUCAGUUCGGAUUGUAGGCUGCAACUCGCCUACAUGAAGCUGGAGUUGCUAGUAAUCGCGAAUCAGAAUGUCGCGGUGAAUACGUUCCCGGGCCUUGUACACACCGCCCGUCACACCAUGAGAGCUGGUAACACCCGAAGUCCGUGAGGUAACCGUAAGGAACCAGCGGCCGAAGGUGGGAUUAGUGAUUGGGGUGAAGUCGUAACAAGGUAGCCGUAGGAGAACCUGCGGCUGGAUCACCUCCUUUCUA
RNAcentral lists this ribosomal RNA (1517 nucleotides) under Clostridium botulinum. RNAcentral's name for it is "bacterial SSU rRNA". It matches the Rfam family "Bacterial small subunit ribosomal RNA". The record is from RNAcentral. Lineage: Bacteria; Bacillati; Bacillota; Clostridia; Eubacteriales; Clostridiaceae.